This 466-nucleotide ribosomal RNA is filed under the name Klebsiella aerogenes. RNAcentral describes it as "bacterial SSU rRNA". It matches the Rfam family "Bacterial small subunit ribosomal RNA", at positions 924 to 1390 of the family's 1533-position model. The record is from RNAcentral. Lineage: Bacteria; Pseudomonadati; Pseudomonadota; Gammaproteobacteria; Enterobacterales; Enterobacteriaceae.
CACAAGCGGUGGAGCAUGUGGUUUAAUUCGAUGCAACGCGAAGAACCUUACCUACUCUUGACAUCCAGAGAACUUAGCAGAGAUGCUUUGGUGCCUUCGGGAACUCUGAGACAGGUGCUGCAUGGCUGUCGUCAGCUCGUGUUGUGAAAUGUUGGGUUAAGUCCCGCAACGAGCGCAACCCUUAUCCUUUGUUGCCAGCGGUUAGGCCGGGAACUCAAAGGAGACUGCCAGUGAUAAACUGGAGGAAGGUGGGGAUGACGUCAAGUCAUCAUGGCCCUUACGAGUAGGGCUACACACGUGCUACAAUGGCAUAUACAAAGAGAAGCGACCUCGCGAGAGCAAGCGGACCUCAUAAAGUAUGUCGUAGUCCGGAUUGGAGUCUGCAACUCGACUCCAUGAAGUCGGAAUCGCUAGUAAUCGUAGAUCAGAAUGCUACGGUGAAUACGUUCCCGGGCCUUGUACACAC